Molecule: ribosomal RNA, 253 nt
Filed under: uncultured bacterium
Lineage: Bacteria
Description: partial 16S ribosomal RNA
Rfam family: Bacterial small subunit ribosomal RNA
Source: RNAcentral
UACAGAGGUGGCAAGCGUUGUUCGGAAUUACUGGGCGUAAAGGGCGCGUAGGCGGCUUUCUAAGUCAGACGUGAAAUCCCCCGGCUUAACCUGGGAACCGCGUCUGAUACUGGGAGGCUUGAAUGCGGGAGAGGGAUGUAGAAUUCCAGGUGUAGCGGUGAAAUGCGUAGAUAUCUGGAGGAAUACCGGUGGCGAAGGCGGCAUCCUGGACCGACAUUGACGCUGAGGCGCGAAAGCUAGGGUAGCAAACGGG